CUGCUGGGUCACACUUCUCUUUAAAGAGUGGAGAAACAUAAUCUCUCGAAGAAAUGCACAGCUAUUACUUUUCAGUCAAGCCGGCUCCACUGCUUCUGAUGCAGCAUGUUUUCAUAGCCCCAUCCUCAGAACAGAAGAUACUUCUAAUAUCCAAGAUUGCCACUACUGGCUCUUGUGACACUGUCAUAUGAUGGAGGCAAGGAUGCUGAGGAUGAAGUUUGAGAUUCAUCAAGAUUCCUGCCAUAGUUUUCACCCAUCAUAGAAGCUAUGAGUCCUUCUCUUUCCGGAGCAGCAUCUCCAAGAGUGUCACCACUGUUGACACAUUUCCCAAACUUCCCAGCAAACAGGUUGACUCCCAUGAUGCUAAAGAUGAGCCAGAAGAUGAGGCAGACAAGCAGAACAUUCAUGAUGGAAGGGAUGGCUCCCACAAGGGCAUUGACCACCACCUUGCAUGAAAUGGGAGAGAAAAAUUGCAGUUAGUUAAACAAAGAUGGACUCAAAUAUCUGCUCAGUGCAAUCAGAUGUUGUAAAAAACUAAGCUGUCAGUUAGUUUUGCAGCAAUCAGAAAUCUUAUGUUUUCCAUGUAAAUAUUUGUUACAGUUGAUGUGGGUACCUUGAGAAAAGAUUCAGAGAUGCAUAAUCUUAUUCUCUCAAUGGAAGGGUUAGAAUGUUUCAUUUUCCUGUGACCCCUCACUACAUACAUAGACUACAAUGUGAGUCCAUCCUCUUUUGAUGACUUUCCCUUGGUUUUGUUGUGUUUUGCUUUCUUUAUAACUUUUUAUAACAGAAGAUUUAUGAAUUAUUCUCCCAUAAGAAUUAAUGCAAAUAACUGUAUUGUUCGUGCUGUGGAAAGUAGUAUUUCAAAAGGAUUGGUAAUGACUCUCCACUAGCAUUUUGUUAGACCUAUUUUUUUAAUGCGUCAUCAUUACACUUGGGGUCCACAGCUGUGAUCUAGGAUCUGAUUUGUGCUGUAGGAUCCCAGAAGUAAUUUUUGAGUAUACACUAAGACAUAACAUUUUGCUUGACAAAAUAAGCCAGUGCAAAGUAAUACAAACACAUCCAAGUAACACAGCCAGUGAACUUAGCAUUUAGAUAGCAAUCUGGUGGGCCAAAAUGAAUAUGAAAAAGCACUGUGAAGAUUUUUGGAAGCCUUGUCAAAAGCAUUCUGCGUAGCAAGAUGGAAACUAUGAUGGAACCUGGUUCAAGAUUGACUUCAGACAUGGAAAGUUUGGUGCUAUAUUAACAAAAUACAUUAAUUUCUCUGCAUCUUCAGUGACAAAAUUGCAGAGAACUUGCAGUUUCACUUCCAAAUGAUAUCCAAACACAAUUUAUAUUUCAGUUGCAUUGAGGUUGCAUUCCCACGUUAACUUGUAAUGGUGAUACCGUGCACAUUUAUGUUAUCUGUGGUGACAAAUCUGAGUGUAUUCCCUAGACCAGAGUUGAGUCCAAACACUGCUGUGGUCACCACUGCUCAUUCACAUGAUAGUAUGUAGAAGUUUUGCAUAUGACUGAUUUCCUCUUCAUUUGUGCAGUUAUAGAUUUCUAAUCAGUCACAUUCAACAGCUUCAUGCUGUUCCUAGCACUCCUCUGAUGGAAAAAGGCAGAAAACCUUCUACAGAAAAUCAGACCUACUUUUUGUAAGAAUAAUUAUAUAGGGAAAAAAAUAGCUUGGGUAAAGUAUGCCUGAGCAGCCUAAAGAUUUUGUAAACCAAUUCAGUAAAAACUUGUAGAGCAGAGAUGAUCCUUUCCUCUGAAUUAGCUUUUCACGAGCAUUUAAGAAUGAAAAUUGCUAACUCCAGAUUCUUUUCCUCUACUUUGUUUUGGGUUUUGUCAGUAAGACAGAAACACAGAAUGUCUGAGCAGCAAAGGAGUAAAGUUCUUCCUGGUCUCAUUUUAAUUUCAACAGCAUUUGAGAUUGAUCACUUGAGUGAAGUCUGUAAGGAGCAGCCAAGUGUAGAGGAGAUCAGCAAAGGUGCUCCCAAAAAUUAAUUUCAUAAAUCCCAAACUUAGCUUGGUGCAGACAUCUGAACUCACAAAUACACAGCCAAGUGUUACGAUACCAUUACAUGCUUAUUACAACCAACAGGCUUUAAUUUGUAUUCAGACUUACCCUCAUCCCCUCAAAUCUUGACAGUGCUCUUAAGGGUCUCAGAGCUCGAAGAGUCCUAAGAGAUUUCACACCGUCAAGUGAACUACCUAAGAUAUUUAUCAAAGAGACCUGGAUGGGGAGACCAAACAAAGUAUUAGCAACAUCUUGGCACCUGUUUCUUUUAUUCCUACUGAAAAUAAAUAAAUAAGUAAAAUAAAAUAAAAUAACAUCAGUGCCUAGAGUACGAUAUCCUGAUGUAGUCAUUAAUGGAAUCAAGAGUGUUUUCUUGAUUUUAUGGUCAGAAAGGAACUGGUGAUUGUGCUGCUAAGUCUUGCAUCAGGAUCUGCGUAGAAUCACAGAACCAUAGAGUGGCUUGGGUUGGAAGGGACCUUAUAAUGCAUCCAAUCCUGACCCUCUGCAGUAGGCUGGUUGCCACCCAUCAGAUCAAGCUGUCCAGGGCCCCAUCCAGACUGGUCUUGAGUGUCUCCAGGGAUGGGGGCAUACAGGUGUAGAAAUGCUGGAUGCACAACUUACACCUACAAUGAGGAAAUCAAGCCAGCACCAGGCAUUGGUGAAAUACUUAUUGAAGCCAUAAGCCACCCACUUCAGGAUCAUCUCCAGAAAGAAGACAAAAGUGAACAAUCUGUCGAGGAACGACAAUAUAGCUUUGAUAGUUCGUCUCUCAUUUAUAUGAAUGUCUUCAAAUGCCUGAAAUCAAGAUAUACAAAUAAAUUGCAAAGUCAGAGAUAAGCUUAAAACAUGAAAGUCUAGAAACAAAAAGGCCUCUUCAUCAUUCAAUACAUAAUUUACACAGAUGUGAACCUCAUCUUUUACUCAAAUGUAUGCCAGCUGGCAAACUUGUAAUUCUUCCUGUCCUUUCUCUUUCUUUUUGCUUACAAUAUACACACUCAUGGGCACAUAC
This 3011-nucleotide long non-coding RNA is filed under the name Gallus gallus (chicken). Lineage: Eukaryota; Metazoa; Chordata; Aves; Galliformes; Phasianidae. The record is from RNAcentral.